GCCACAUGAUGUAUUUUCAGAGACAUGAGCACUCAGUGCUGAGAUGACCUUUAUCUAUCACCCUUGACUGAUGGCA
Molecule: small nucleolar RNA, 76 nt
Organism: Monodelphis domestica (gray short-tailed opossum)
Lineage: Eukaryota; Metazoa; Chordata; Mammalia; Didelphimorphia; Didelphidae
Gene: SNORD83
Rfam family: Small nucleolar RNA SNORD83
About the family: U83 (SNORD83) and U84 (SNORD84) are members of the C/D class of snoRNA which contain the C (UGAUGA) and D (CUGA) box motifs. They act as guanine methylation guides but lack complementarity to ribosomal RNA.
Source: Ensembl